AAAAAAAGUGCACUAACUCUCAAGCAUGUUGGUAAACAAUGAGCUUUCUGCCUACCUGUUGAGGUGGUACCAGAAGUGGUCAUUGAUUGGCUGUUCAUAUGUGCCUGCAUAUGAGGGGGCGUGUAUGUGUCGUAGCUCCGCCCAUUCACAGGCGGACUGGUAGGCAGCAUGCAGGAAUAAGAGGAGUGUUUCCCUGGCUGUGAUAGACCUACCCGGCGUGGUGGGCUGUGGGAUGGCCUGGUACACGCUGGUGCUAAAGCUGCUGCUGAUGGGAAUGUGACUGGAGGAGUUGUUGGCCUGCCGGCGCUGGUUCCGCAGCUUCUCCUCUCGCCUCCACUUCGCUCUUCUGUUUGAGAACCAUACCUGCAAUGCAAAGUAAGCCACAGGUCGAUUUUCGCAGCUAGUCUCUCUCGCGCGAAAACAUCUGGGUAGUGAGUCCUUUCAAAUUCUGCAACACAAAAUUGUAAGACAAUAAGUCAUCAAAUAAGUCGAGGGUAAUUCAAUGUUUGCAGGGCUUUUAGUGUGAUAAGGCCU
This is a long non-coding RNA of Notolabrus celidotus (New Zealand spotty), 534 nucleotides long. RefSeq lists it as uncharacterized. The transcript has 3 exons. The record is from RefSeq and is a predicted model, not a curated record. NCBI's taxonomy places the organism in Eukaryota, Metazoa, Chordata, Actinopteri, Labriformes, Labridae.